RNAcentral lists this ribosomal RNA (424 nucleotides) under Fusobacteriota bacterium. Its description in RNAcentral is "Fusobacteria bacterium partial 16S ribosomal RNA". It matches the Rfam family "Bacterial small subunit ribosomal RNA", at positions 355 to 776 of the family's 1533-position model. Lineage: Bacteria; Fusobacteriati; Fusobacteriota. The record is from RNAcentral.
UGAGGAAUAUUGGUCAAUGGGCGAGAGCCUGAACCAGCCAAGUAGCGUGCAGGAUGACGGCCCUAUGGGUUGUAAACUGCUUUUAUGUGGGGAUAAAGUGCGUGACGUGUCAUGCAUUGCAGGUACCACAUGAAUAAGGACCGGCUAAUUCCGUGCCAGCAGCCGCGGUAAUACGGAAGGUCCGGGCGUUAUCCGGAUUUAUUGGGUUUAAAGGGAGCGUAGGCUGUCUAUUAAGCGUGUUGUGAAAUUUACCGGCUCAACCGGUGGCUUGCAGCGCGAACUGGUCGACUUGAGUAUGCAGAAAGUAGGCGGAAUUCAUGGUGUAGCGGUGAAAUGCUUAGAUAUCAUGACGAACUCCGAUUGCGCAGGCAGCUUACUGUAGCAUAACUGACGCUGAUGCUCGAAAGUGCGGGUAUCAAACAGG